UACAGAGGUGGCAAGCGUUGUUCGGAAUUACUGGGCGUAAAGGGCGCGUAGGCGGCUUGGUCAGUCCCGUGUGAAAUCCCUCGGCUCAACUGAGGAACUGCACGGGAAACUGCCUGGCUUGAGUUCGGGAGAGGGAAGCGGAAUUCCGGGUGUAGCGGUGAAAUGCGUAGAUAUCCGGAGGAACACCGGUGGCGAAGGCGGCUUCCUGGACCGACACUGACGCUGAGGUGCGAAAGCGUGGGGAGCAAACAGG
Molecule: ribosomal RNA, 253 nt
Filed under: uncultured bacterium
Lineage: Bacteria
Description: partial 16S ribosomal RNA
Rfam family: Bacterial small subunit ribosomal RNA
Source: RNAcentral